RNAcentral lists this ribosomal RNA (700 nucleotides) under uncultured diatom. RNAcentral's name for it is "bacterial SSU rRNA". It matches the Rfam family "Bacterial small subunit ribosomal RNA", at positions 42 to 784 of the family's 1533-position model. The record is from RNAcentral. Lineage: Eukaryota; Bacillariophyta.
UCAGGCCUAACACAUGCAAGUCGUACGAGAGUUUUUUACUCAAGUGGCGGACGGGUGAGUAACACGUAAGAAUUUGCCUCUAGGAGGGGGAUAACAACUGGAAACGGUUGCUAAUACCCCAUAUGCUUUCGAGUGAAAUGGAUUUCCGCCUAGAGAGAAGCUUGCGGCUGAUUAGCUUGUUGGUGAGGUAAUGGCUCACCAAGGCGACGAUCAGUAUCUGGUUUGAGAGGACGAUCAGACACACUGGAACUGAGACACGGUCCAGACUCCUACGGGAGGCAGCAGUGGGGAAUUUUCCGCAAUGGGCGAAAGCCUGACGGAGCAAUACCGCGUGAGGGAUGACGGCCUAUGGGUUGUAAACCUCUUUUUUCAGGGAGGAAUUAAUGACGUGUACCUGAAGAAUAAGCAUCGGCUAACUCCGUGCCAGCAGCCGCGGUAAGACGGAGGAUGCAAGUGUUAUCCGGAAUCACUGGGCGUAAAGCGUCUGUAGGUGGUUUAAUAAGUCAACUGUUAAAUCUUGAGGCUCAACCUCAAAAUCGCAGUCGAAACUAUUAGACUAGAGUAUAGUAGGGGUAAAGGGAAUUUCCAGUGGAGCGGUGAAAUGCGUAGAUAUUGGAAGGAACACCGAUGGCGAAGGCACUUUACUGGGCUAUUACUAACACUCAGAGACGAAAGCUAGGGUAGCAAAUGGGAUUAGAUA